GCCUGGAUAGCUCAGUUGAUUAGAGCAUGGUACUGAUAAUGUCAAAGUUGCAGGUUUGAUCCCCACAUUCCUGCGUUGCAGAGAGCU
Non-coding RNA from Podarcis lilfordi (Lilford's wall lizard), 87 nucleotides. The record is from the annotation of a GenBank genome assembly. Lineage: Eukaryota; Metazoa; Chordata; Lepidosauria; Squamata; Lacertidae.